GCAAGCAUGAGUUCCUGAUAGUUGAAAACGGUGCCUACCCCCAGAGGCGUUAUGAGGAUUAACGGAAGUAAUGCAAAUAAAAGUACGUUAAUGCAAACUAAACAUAAAAUAAUGCCCCCCCCCAAGUCCCUGGUACAAAGAAGACACUUCCCCCAGGGUUUUAAAAUAUCAAAGUGACAAGAUCCCUUUUCUAGUUAAAAGCACAUUUUGCAAAUACUUCUUGCCGUCCCAGUGGAAAAGCCCCCAGGCCUGGGAUUCCAGGAAAGACCCGCGGGCUACGCCCGUCCUUCCUGGGACUCCGCUGGGCUUGGGCCGAAAACAGAAGCUUGUUUCCUCCGCCCCUGAGCAAGGCCUUCCCCAGGGCUCCUCCUCCGCAGCGAUCCCAGCCGCGGCUCCGAGCCCCGCCUCUCCCGGGCGCCUUCACCGAGCAGGCCCCGCCCCUCCACUCCGGCGCCGCUUCCCGGCGGGUAUCGGCGCCCGGACAAGGCGGCCCUCUUUCCAAGGCGGCAGACGCGGCAGUGCGUCCCUGCGCCCCGGCCGCCACCUGCGCCCCCGCGGCGGGUGCGCGCCUCGCAAACCUCCCGGCGGAGGAGUGGGAACCUGGGUUAGGAAGCGGGGCAGGCAGGUGGCGGGGACGAGGACGUUGCGAGCCGGGAGCCCGGCCACGUGGAUUCUCAGAUCUCCUUGUGGUUUCGUUUCAACACGCAGCCGUUGGGUGUCUGGGUGUUCGCGCAGGUGGCAUACGUGAUUCGAGAGGUCGGAAUGCAGAAGUAGCAGGAGGGCUUUGUGGGCCAGGCCCUGAGGACAUGGGUACCACAUGACAGCCCGACUCGGAGAGGUCACGAGAAGCGCCGAAUGCACGACACUGUGACACGUGUUUUAGUGAGAUGCGUGCAGGGUACAGCAGUGAAAGGGAGGGAUUCUUUCUGGAGCGUCUUCAGGGGGGCCUAAGGCGAGUUUCAGUUUGCGGGGUGGAUAAGCACGUAGCAGAGCAUCCCGUUGAGAGGAAACAGGGUCUUUAAAGCUGCAGAGGGGACCUGGAGGGGGUGUGAGCCAAGGAGCCCGAAGGGGGCUUGGUGCCCCACCAUCUCCUUCAGAGCCACCUUAAAUAGCAAUCUCAGCAGAAACGGCGAGCUUGCUCUGUGGGCUCCACUUCAAGCAGGAGGGGAGGAAGAUGGUGUGAUGCCAGCCAAGGGCCAAGCAAAUGGAAAGCCCGUGGUAUGAUCUGUCUGCCUGUUGACCUCGCUAGCCCACGCCUCCACCGCUGAAGCUGAUUUCAUCUGCAGGGGCCAUGUUGUUUACUGACUUAACCAUCUCUUUCGGUGCCGUUGUCUCAACAUGGCACUUUUAGAGUUCCUUUGACAGACCUCUCCCCUCCCAUUCUCGUCUGCCUGGCGCUGAUGCUGCAGGCCAGUUGGGCUGGGAUUGGAUUCAACCACAGCUGGUUCAGAGCCAAGGAGGCCACACACGCAUGCCUAGGACUUCAUGGAAAGAAAAGCUUCCUGCCUUUUCCUUGGAGGACGCCAGCAGACGCUCAGUGUGGAACGAGGCUGCUUCUACGUCAAAGGGGGAGCCCGGGGCUGAGAGCACGGGUGUGGGCGCUGGGUGGAAGCCUCACCAUGGAAGGCAGAUCGGGGAGCCGGACAGAGCCAGGGCGACACCAGGCCACGGGCGACAGCGUUUGAUUUGCUGCACGAUCCCCUGCUAGUCACAGGCCUUGAUUUUUUAGUGCCCUUUAUUAUACAGACUAGUUUUAACCGGAUUUUCUGUGACUUGCAACAGAAAGAGUCCUAACUGAUCUCAGUGGGUGGGAUCUGUUCCCUGUCAAAGAGGUGAGGCGUCUCAGGCAAGGGGAAAGGGGAACGUCCUCCCAGUGCGCAGCCACUGCGGCGAAGCCUGUCGGAUAACAAGGGGGAAAGUUCCCACGUCCAGAGUACUGUUUGGCGUAACGUUUCCCAAAGUUUUUUUUUCCUUAGCGGGUCAGUAAACGUGUACGAGCCACUGGCGUCAGCGCUGUGCCGUGUUGGGGAGACGCCGAGCAAGCAUGGUGGCCCCGCCUUAGCGGAACUUGCGUUCCAGCCGGAAGUACAGACAUUAUGCUGGUUAUAGUGGGAUGACUAUAUGUCCCUCCUGGCUGCAGGAGGGACAGAAGACGCUUGGAAGCUAUGACGGGCGGCGCACAGUUUGGGAGGAGGGGUGAAGGAAGGCUUCCUUGAGAAAGCGACAUUUAAGCAGGGCCUAAAAGGUGAGUAAAGAUUUAAUUAGUCAGUGGGGGAGGGGCUUGGGGGAAUGUUCUAGGUAGAGAGAAUAGCACGUAUUUGGCUAUAGGACUUCUAAGGGCUUUUAAAGUGUAAAGGUGCACUGUGAACCCCAAGAGGGGCUGAAGUGUGCAGUCCCCAAAUGUAUUGACAUAGAGUUCCGAUUUAUUAGAGAAGCAUCUUGUAAGACUUAGAAAAAACAGCAUGUGUUCAGGAAUGAAGUGUUCUGAGGCCAGAGGGAACAUGGUCCUGAUUCAGGUAAAGACCUAUGUAUGAGAAUAGAGGGUGAUGACAGAUAGAUAGAUAGAUAGAUAGAUAGAUAGAUAGAUAGAUAGAUGAUAGAUAGAUAGAUAGAUGACAGCUAGGUAAUAGAUAGAUGACAGAUAGGGAGAUGGAUAGAUAGAUGAUAGAUUGGUAGUAGAUAGAGGGAUAGAUAGGGAGAUGAAUAGAUAAUGGAUAGAUAUAUAGAUGGAUGAUAAAUAGAUGACAGGUAAUAGAUGAUAGAUAGGGAGAUGGAUAGAUGAUAGAUAGAUGGAUAGAGAUGAUAGAUGAUAGAUAGAUAGAUAGAUAGAUAAAUGAAUGAGAUGGAUGGAUGGAGGGAGGGAGGGAGGGAGGAAUAUUAGACGAGGCCCAGAAGGGCCAGGAUGCGGAGGGAGUUGAACGUCAGGAUAAACACUUUGUUGGUGUCUGAGUGUAGAUUCAUGGCUGAGGUUUAUGUGAGAAGCUUGGGAGCAGAAAGGAGGUUACAGUGAUCCCGGCAUGAGAUUCUAGGCUAAAGUGGGGACCAAGGUGGGAGAAAAAGAAAUACGUUUCAGAGGCGCCCCAGAGGAGGGACAGGCAGUGAUUAAUGAGAGCCAUCUAGAGUGACAAGAAAGGCAGGAAGAAGCGGAGCGUAGCCUCUGGGUUUCACGAGGAAGAGGAGCUCCAGGAAGAAACGGAAAACCUCUGUCUCGCUCGUCACCACUAGUUCACUGCACAACGGCAGGAAAAGUCCAGGCCACCAAGUUCCGAAGCAUUUGCCAAAUCCUCUGCAGGGCUAGUGAGCCCGGGGCAGCCGGGAGAGAAGCCGAAAAUUAGGGUAAAUAGAAGCUCAGAGAUUUUCGGUGGGUUUUAAUCAUCUGUGUCAUCAUGACUUCGGCCUCGAGAGCUGCCUCUGUUCUUGUUCACUGGUGACAGGAGUGACAUGGCCUCCUUCAAACUCGUGCAGCCACAUUUCAUUAAGAGGAGAGAGAGAGAGAAAUGUCCUUUCAGGUCAGGAUGUCAAAGAGAUGAAAAAGAGGAGAUAUUUAAGAGAAAAAUAACCAGCAGUACACCAUUCAUCUCUCUCUCUCUCCCUCUUUCAUCUCAUCUGACCUGAUACCCUGAACAUCCGUGAUAAGAGACGUGGGCGCAAGUGGCACCGGGAUUAAUACAGCCGCACACAAGUGAGGUUUUCACCCCGUAACCACCAUCCUUUCCUUUGGGGAAUCAGGGCUCCAAGUGUCAGGCGCUGUGUGCGGUUCCCGGAGGGUCACAGCGGGACGCCUGGUGCAGCUGCUGCGGAUUCAGAAGCAUCUUUCAGAAACCGUGACUGGAGUCCUUUGACUGUUCCUGGUACUUACCUGCGAGGCCGAUGCCACCCUUGACCUGGGCGUUUCCUCCGGUCGGCCCUUGUCCUGAUGCAUCACCUGGACCAGACUCAUGGCCCCCAGAGAAGCCCAGUAGGGCUUUGCUGGGACCAGAAUGAGCAUUCAUACAUCAUCCCAUUCAGGAAGGUUCCCGGAGCAUCUCCUCUGCACCAGACACGGUGCUCUGCGUGGGGCCAGACAGACACAGAGCAGCCGCCACCGUCGUGCAUAAGCCUGUGACCAGCCCUCCGGGGGCUCAGACGGGGCUGGGCACACAGGAAGGGGACCGGGACUGGGCUCUAGGGCGGCCGAGACAAAAUUCCACAGACAGGGGGCUUAAGCGACAGAAAUGUACCUACUCACAGCUCUGGAGGCUGGGAGUCUAAAACCAAGGCAGGUGUCAGGAGGAGGUGACACUUGACCUUAAAGAGUGAGGAUGGGACUUCCCUGGUGGCGCAGUGGUUAAGGAUCUGCCUGCCAAUGCAGGGGACACGGGUUCGAGCCCUGGUCUGGAAAGAUUCCACGUGCCGCGGAGCAACUAAGCCUGUGCGCCACAACUGCUGAAGCCCGCGCACCUAGAGCCCGUGCUCUGCGACAAGAGAAGCCACCACAAUGAGAAGCCCGUGCACCGCAACAAAGACCCAAUGCAGCCAAAAAUAAAUAAAUAAAUUAAUUAAAAAAAAAAAAAAAGAAUGAGGAGGAAUCUGAAACGUGCAGAAAGAUAUCCAGGUGGAGAGAGCCAUGUGAGCCUAUGACCUCAUUAGAGGGGUUAAAAAAUAACAGGACAGGCCUGGCCGCUGACAUCAGGGAUUGUCAAGGUCAUGCUCACUUCUGUAGGAAUGACGAUAUAAUAAUCACUGAAUCCUAAUGACUGUUUACUAUGUGCCGGGCACACUGGUAUGAGCCGUAUGUGAAUUUUCUCUUUGAACUCCAGGCAGCCUAACGAGGCCAUGAAGGACGUGACUUUCCCUGCACAGACGAGGAAGCUUAGCCCUGGAGAAUUCAGUGAUGUGCCCGAGGUCACACAGCUGGCAGCCCUCAGCCCCGGGCUGUCCCCGCAGCCCAGGCCCUACCCCUCCCGCUCGCCGACGUGGGGUAGGGAGUGUGCAAGUGCUCGUGUGGUGGCUGAGCUCCUAAAACACACGCAUUCUCAGACCCUGCUCCCAGAAAUGCUGGCGAGAGGCCAUCACUCUACUUUCAGAGACUUCCGGGGCGGUUCGGAUGGGAAACAACGACAGAGGAGCUCUGAGCUUUGCAGGGUGGAUUCUGUCCUGAGCCGCUCCAGAGCUUUGCUGUCCUUGCAGUUCGCAUCUCAGUAGGAAGAAUGUCAGGCGGAACGUAAAAGGCAGGGCUUCUAAGUCUGGCCCUGCUGCCAGCCAACUGUCUGAUUUUGGACGAGUCCUGCCUCUUUGGGUUUUAAUUCUUUGUGCGUCAGAGCAGGGGGUGUGGGGCGGGACAGAUGACUCCUGAGAUGGCCUCAGGCUUUGUCAUGCAACAGUUCUGCUGAGCAGUGGCAUUAGGAGAUGGCAGAUUCAGUCAUUGAAGCUUAGAUGUCUGUAUUCAUUUUCUCGGGCUACAGAAACAAAGUACCCUAGACUGGGGGCUUCAACGACAGAACUUGACCGUCUCACAGCUCUGGAGGUUGGAGUCCAAAAUCAAGGUGCUGGCAGGGUUGCUUCCCUCUGAGCUGGGAGGGGGAAGCCGCUCCGGGCCCCUCCCCCAGGCCCUGGGGGUUUGCUGCGCAUCCUUGAUGUCCCUUGUGUUGUAGGAGCAUCACCUCAGUCCCCGCCUCCAUCUUCACACGCUGUUCUUGUGUGUGUGUGUGUGUGUGUGUGUGUGUGUGUGCGCGCGCGCGCGCGCGCGCGCGCGCGCACACAUCUCUCCCUUUUAUCAGGGUACUGGUCAUAUCAGAGGAGGUGGCACCCGCCCUAAUCCAGUAUGACUAAUUAUAUCUGCAAUGACCUUAUUUCCAAAUAAGGUCACAUUCUGAGGUCUUGGGGGUUAAGGCUUCAACAUAUGAAUUUUUAGAGGAUUCAGUUCAACACAUAACAAGGUCCGAGGGAAAAACGCCACUAAAAUGAGCCAAAGUCACUUGAAAUUGAGUUAGGUUUCUGAUCAGUCAGGAAUAAUUGUUGCAUACCAGAGAGUCCACUCAGGCCAGUUUAGGGUGGAAAGGGAUUUAUUAAAGGAUGCUUGCUAACUGCAGAGGGGCCACCACCUCAGGAAGGACACCCGCUUUGUGCGGUGGUGUGGCUCCCAGGACACGGCCGCUGCUGGUGUAGGAUCUGGCCCCACCCCCGGUGCAGCGCGCAGAGUCCCACACACAAGUGUCUCAUGCUCUCUUAGUGGAAUAAUUUGGAAGAACUACGUUGAAAUGGAAAAUGUGCAUUCCUUUCAUUCAGCAGUUCCACUCAUGAUUUUUCCCCCUAAGGAAAUAAUUCAGUGAACGCCCAGACAUAUCUUUGUAAAUACGUCUGUUUAUCAGAGUGCCGCUUAUAUGAACCAAGACACCUCACUAUCCAUCAGUGGUAGAUGGGUUAAAUAAAACAUGAUGCAAGUGUGCCCAGCGUGAGGCUACGUUAAGUGUAAUGAUAUAAAUCUGUGGUUUUCAGCUCGGGUCAGAUCCAAAGGCCACCCCUUCUAUAAUAAAUGUCAGACUCAAAUGUCCCCUUUCUAUAACAAAUGUUUAUAAUGCUCCCCUUACUAUCCUGAAAUGAAAUUCAUAGAUAAUAUAACCUAUAUUAUAUUAAAAUAGUUAUUAUAUAAAUAUAUUAAAAUAAAUAUAUUAUAUAUUAUAAAAAUAUAAUUUUUUAAUCAAUAUAAUGACACAAUGACUCAUACACACAAAUUAAAAAAAUCAAUAUAUUGCCUUAAUUGUAACAUAAAAGAGAAAUAAAGGGAGAAGAAUUGGUAAUGAAUUGUUUCAAUAUGUAAACACACAGGCAUGGGUACACGUGGAGACACAUGGAAGGUCAAGGUCGGCCCCUAAGGGAAUCCCCACCAACGACCCGGGCAGGAGGCAGACCCUUCAGCUGCGGGUGCCAGGAGUUCAGAUCUUCUAGCUGCAUCGUUAUGGAUGGUGGGGUUUCCCAGAAUGAGCAAAGCGAGGUACAAUCCACCCUCGAUAUCCCUCCGUGUUCCUGGAAUAUGUGGUACAUGUUAAAACCAUGCAAAAUUACUUGUGUCUAAAUUAAAAUGAAGUUUGGAUCUUAGAUUAUUCUAAAUAAGCUUUUCAACUACACGAUAUUUCAAAAUUAUGAGGGCUACUUCUCCACGUGGGGGGUUGCCUCGCACAAUAUAGGACACUCAGCAUCCCUGGACCCCCAGCUGCUCAAUGCCAGGAGCCCCCCAAGGAAAAAGUCCCCACAAAUUUCCAACACACUCCCGCUGUGGAGCAGAAUGACCUCCUUGAGAAUCUGUCACCACUCAUCUGCGUUUACUGACAUGGAAAAAAGUCCACGAUGUGUAGUUCAGUACAAUGUACGGUUAAGUCAAAAUCUUCAGGGUCAGCAGCUACAACAUGAUUCCAUUCUUGAAAAAGGAAUAAGCUAAAGAAGGAAGGACUCCGUGAAAGAACAAUGUGUGUGUGUGCACGUGUGUGUGUGUCCACAGAGGAAUAAGUCUGGACAUAUAGACACAAACCCAUUAACCAGCAUUGUCUCUGGGGAUGAGAUUUCAGAUAAUUUGCAUGUUCUAAUGUCUAUUUGUCGGAAUGGACUGAUUUUUUUAAAAAAAUUAUGAUAUACAAUCAGAAAAAAGCAACUAUUUUCAUUUGGCAAACAAAUAACAGAAGGCAGUUUUCUGCUGGGGAAUUCUCUGCUGUCCUGUGUGCUGUGGAAUGUCAGCAGCCUGGCCUUGUCCCCCCAGAGGCCGGGAGCACACACCCCGGGCACAGAUGUGAACCAAGGGCAUCUCCAGACACAGACAGAGGGGCGAUGGCACUGUGGUCUGUGGUCUGGGAGGUCGGGAAGCCUUCCUGAGGAGGUGACAAAGCACUGAGAUGUGAAGACGGUAGGAGCGAACUAAAUGAAGAGAGGGUGGAAGGGUGUCCUGGGCAGAGGGAACAGCAUGGACAAAGCCACGUGGCAGGGAGGAGCUGGUGGGAACGAGCUACCAAAGGAAACAAAGCUUUCACGGGGAAAUAGCAAAUAGUACCCCCUUGGAUAAAGGAAGAGGGUGACAUCAGGACACGUCUGCCUCACAUGGGGCUUCAGGGAUGCUCCAGAGGUGUACUGUGAACCAUGCCUCCUGACACACAGUCUAAUAUGACACGUGUUAUUGAAUUUUGCAAUAGGAAAUGUAAAGCCCAUGCGGUUUUAUUAAGACAUUUCUAUCAAUUUUCCUUUGACUUGCCCUUCCAAAUAAUAAACCGAAUGUUGCUUCGCUUAAUUUUCAAGUUGAUGAAGCUUCCUUUCCUAUUGCCAAUUUAAGUCACUUAAAGUGAUUUUUUAUUAAUCUCGGAUAGAGAGUUUUGCCUUUCUUAAUUGAAAAUAUUUUUGAACCAGUAGAAUACGGCAUGAAAUUAUUCAGGAAAUCUCAGGCCCUAGAGUCAAGGAAAUCUUUUUUCUUUUUAAAAAUCCCAGCUUUCAAAGAAUUUUCUCCAAACCCUUUUUUGUUUUUUUAACAUCUUUAUUGGAGUGUAAUUGCCUUACAAUGUUGUGUUAGUUUCUGCUUUAUAACAAAGUGAAUCAGUUAUACAUAUGUUUCCAUAUCUCUUCCCUCUUGCAUCUCCCUCCCUCCCACCCUCUCUAUCCCACCCCUCUAGGUGGUCACAAAGCACCGAGCUGAUCUCCCUGUGCUAUGCGGCUGCUUCCCACUAGCUAUCUAUCUCACGUUUGGUAGUGUAUAUAUGUCCAUGCCACUCUUUCACUUUGUCCCAGCUUACCCUUCCCCCUCCCCGUGUCCUCAAGUCCGUUCUCUACGUCUGUGUCUUUAUUCCUGUCCUGCCCCUAGGUUCAUCAGAACCUUUUUUUUUUUUAGAUUCCAUAUAUAUGUGUUAGCAUACGGUAUUUGUUUUACUCUUUCUGACUUACUUCACUCUGUAUGACAGACUCUCAGUCCAUCCACCUCACUACAAAUAACUCAAUUUCGUUUCUUUUUAUGGCUGAGUAAUAUUCCACCAAACUCUUAAAACAAUCUUACUGAAAAGAGUUACUGAAUGCUCAGCUGGCUACCAAUGACUUAUCUCCACUAACUAAACAUAAAAACAUGUCUGGCUUCUUUGCGUCAAUGUGUGUAAUUCCAAUAAUCAUCAUACUCUAUAUUUAUACAGAUUUCUGUCUUAUUUAUACUUCCCAACAGCCUACAACUGGUGGGUGGGGGGGGGGAGAUGAUCUCUGGGAAUGAUAAAAUAAGAUUGCCCUCUUGUGGGACUUCCCAGGUGGCACAGUGGUUAAGAAUCCGCCUGCCAAUGCAGGGGACACGGGCUUGAGCCCUGGUCUGGGAAAAAUCCCACAUGCCAGGGAGCAACUAAGCCUGUGCGCCACAACUACUGAGCCCGCGAGCCACAACUACUGAAGCCUGCGAGCCACAACUACUGAAGCCCGCGCACCUAGAGCCUGAGCUCCACAACAAGAGAAGCCACCACAACGAGAAGCCCGCGCACCGCAACGAAGAGUAGCCCCCGCUCGCCGCAACUAGAGAAAGCCCGUGUGCAGCAACGAAGACCCAACGCAGCCAAAAAUAAAUAAAU
Long non-coding RNA from Orcinus orca (killer whale), 9557 nucleotides. RefSeq lists it as uncharacterized. The transcript is spliced from 3 exons. Lineage: Eukaryota; Metazoa; Chordata; Mammalia; Artiodactyla; Delphinidae. The record is from RefSeq and is a predicted model, not a curated record.